Stegostoma tigrinum is the source of this 1068-nucleotide long non-coding RNA. RefSeq lists it as uncharacterized. NCBI's taxonomy places the organism in Eukaryota, Metazoa, Chordata, Chondrichthyes, Orectolobiformes, Stegostomatidae. The record is from RefSeq and is a predicted model, not a curated record. The transcript is spliced from 4 exons.
AUAAAUCUAGUGCCUUCAACACUUGUAUCUCCUACUGGCUUUUACAGUCUGUGAUUUGCUUCCUGUUAGAGGCGCGAAGGGAAUAUCGGACACAUCUACAGUUUGGGUUCAUUGACCGGGAGUUCCCAGUGCUGAUGCUGGCCCCUGAUGAUGAAAUGGCCAGUAAUGCUGAAAGCAUUGACCCUGAUAAGCUUUCUUUCUUCUGGAUAACAGCUCGGAGGAAUGUGACUGAAAAUCUGAUCAACCAUUCAGAAGCCUCUGCAAAUAGGAACCGUGUUAAAAAUGUAGCACACCCUUUAUGAGCCAACCUUGUUGGUGUGGGUCUGGAGUCACAUGUAGGCCAGUCCAGGUGCUGCCAGACCUACUGAAUUUUUUCAGCAAUUUUUGAUAUUGUUUCCAAUUUCCAACAUCCUCAGUUCUUUGCUUCUUUGUCCAAAAAGAUCACCAGUUUACAAACGAGUCAGCCUCAAAAAUAUCCCCUGUUUGCUUGUAAAAGUCCCCGACUUUCUGCCUCUCUGAAUAAUCUGUUCCUUGUGUUUAUCACACUCAGUGUUUGGUAGUUACAAUCUAAUCUGUCUCCUUGUGUUGCUCUUCUAAUCACAGACCCAUGACCUCUGGUGACAUCUUUUUGCCAACAAAAGCAUAUUCUGUUCCCUUGAGGAUGUUGAACACUGGAAUAAUCUCUGCUUAGACCACGGUCUCCUUUGGAAUGGACAAGGCUUCAAUGACGCAUAUCCAACUUGUUAAUUUUGGUUGCCAAAUGUCUUUGUUGCACUGGUGCUUGAGUGGUCUUGAUCUGCCCUGCAACAGGAUUUAUAGACGUUGGUACAGAUGUCCCCACGAGGAUUCAUGUGCAUUCUAAACUUGAACUGAAUUGAGAGCAGAUGAGAGAGGUGAAGGUGUACUUUAUCUUUCUUAUGCCCCAGAGGAAUCUGGCUGGGCUGGAAUUUACAUCCCACCAGAAGUCUCCAUGAUCACGAUGAACCAGUUGUAAUCAUUGCUUUUUUUUUGUAAUUCUUUCAUGGAAAGCGGGCAUCAUUGGCUCAACCAAAUGUGAGGCUGGAUGAA